This 252-nucleotide ribosomal RNA is filed under the name uncultured bacterium. RNAcentral describes it as "partial 16S ribosomal RNA". It matches the Rfam family "Bacterial small subunit ribosomal RNA", at positions 524 to 776 of the family's 1533-position model. The record is from RNAcentral.
UACGGAGGAUGCGAGCGUUAUCCGGAUUUAUUGGGUUUAAAGGGUGCGUAGGCGGACUGUCAAGUCAGCGGUAAAAUACGGGGGCUCAACCUCCGCCCGCCGUUGAAACUGACGGUCUUGAGUGGGCGAGAAGUAUGCGGAAUGCGUGGUGUAGCGGUGAAAUGCAUAGAUAUCGCGCAGAACUCCGAUUGCGAAGGCAGCAUACCGGCGCCCAACUGACGCUGAAGCACGAAAGCGUGGGUAUCGAACAGG